GAUUUUCAAGUUUUUGUGCUUAUAAGAAAAUAAUAUUAGUUUUAUGUUAAAUGUUAAAGUAAUAUGUCAAGUUACUUCCUUUAUUUUUAGUUUACUUUAACUAAUAUGUAACUAUUUUUUUAUUUUGAAUGAUUUUUUUUGUUGAAAAUAAUGAUAUUUUAGAAACUAGUAAGCUUUUUUAUUGAUUUUUCAUAUUUUGACUGGUG
This 206-nucleotide long non-coding RNA is filed under the name Brassica rapa (field mustard). Its description in RNAcentral is "long non-coding RNA (BRAP_LNC003460)". The record is from RNAcentral. Lineage: Eukaryota; Viridiplantae; Streptophyta; Magnoliopsida; Brassicales; Brassicaceae.